AUGGCCCACACCCUGCCAACCUGGCACCAAGAAGGUGCUUGGCCAAGGAAGAGGGGUCACAGGGCCAGGGGGCUGAGCCUGGGCCGCUGCCUCCAUCAGCUGGAAACAUGCCCACGUGUGCCUACCCCAGGGCUGCUGCUGGCAGCGGGGGGCCCAAGGCUCUGCCUGGAACUGAGGGCGGCACCCAGGCUGGGUGUCCCCCUGCCCCCCCAGCUUUGGAGGGGCCACUUGACUGGGACGUGUGUCUGCCCUGGCUGCCUCCCCCAAGCCAGCUCCCAGCCCAAAGGAGACACGUGCCAGGAGAUGUGGUCCAGCCCCCACCCCACCCCAACUGCACGCCCACCCUCAGUGGGCCAGGGUGGAGGUGAGGGUGGCGGGUGGCCUGUGGGGGCGGCCACUUCCCUUCCUCCUCCCCUGUCCCCCUCCCCCUGGACUGGAGCAGCUUUGAUCGACUUUCAAGGUGUGGGAAAUAUGAAAUGCAUGGUGUUAAAUCUCAGGCCACUGGAUGAAAGCCUCGCUCCCUCCCCGAGUGCCGGCCAGAUGGCAGCGCGGCCUCCGAGGCACACGCCUGGCCUUUGUGGGCCGUUUAACGCUGUGAAUGGGGCCAAAGUGUGGGAAAGUCGCUGGGCUCCCGGCUCACACGUCCGAGUCACUGAGGGGUGGAAAGAAGCCAAGGGUCCAUCCCAAGCUGAGGAUGAGAACACACAGUCUGUCCCUGGGGCAGUGACACUCAGCCUUGGGAAGGGAGGACACGGAUGCCCGCGGCUGCGGGGACGAGCCCUGAGGAUGUCACGCCGAGUGGCAUCAGCGACACAGAGGCCCGAGGCCUGUGUGAUGCACUCCCGAUGUCCCUGGAGGAGCCGGAGUCCAGACGGAACGUCGGAGGAUGGGGCCGGGCCGGGGAGGGGACGGGACGUUCGUUUGGGAAGAAGAGAACGGUCUGGAGGUGGCGGGGGUGACGGUUGCAGGACAGGAACAUGCUUCAUGCCACUGAGCUGGGCACUCAGAAGUGGGUGAGAUGGUGAAUUUCAGGUUAUGUGAAAUUGAACAAGGACGAUUCCUUGGCAAAGAGCCCCUCCCUCCUCCCGCCAGGCCCUCGCCCAGUCUCAGCUGACCCUGUGCCAGAGGGGACAGGGUCUGAGGGGACACCCCAGCCCCUGCCUGCCGCAGAGUGGGAUCCUAAGGAGCAGCAGGUGGCCCCUAGAGGGUUUCCUGCUGGGAGGUGGGGAUGAGGCAGGCGGAGGAGGGCAGGAGUGAGGCUGGGCUUCCCUGGGAAAGGGGGGACAGGAUGAUCCAUGGUGGCCGCCAGGCUGCACACAGCACGGAGCCAGGCGCCCCUGGGGUUGUUCUGGGCCCUGGCCCUGGCCCUGGCCCCUCCAAACGCAGCACGGUGCCCCCGCCCCCCCCCUGCAGACCCCUGAGGAGGCGCCCAGGACAGCAGGGAGGCGCUAGCUCAUGUCCCAGGUGUGAAGGGAGUCCAGCCCCUGCCACGCAAGCCCCCUGGGGGCCCUGGAGGGCUGGGACUGUAGGCUGCUGUGUCUGGGGGCCGGGAGGGGGUUGGUCUCUCCGUGGGGAGCCUGGCAGGGCUGAAGGGGCAGUGGGGAGAGUCCCAGUUGCUGCGCCUCUAUGAGGCCCUGGGCAGGAGCAGGAAUCCACCUCCUUAGAAGGGCCUGCGAGGUGAGGGCCCCCCUCCACGGCGGGGACCCGGGGGUCACGGAGGUUAAGCCGUGUCCGGGAUCCUGUGCUCGGGACAGCUGACUGGGUGAUGACGAUGAGACACUGUUUUCAACCACUUCUUGCUAUUUCACACCGGGCAGGGCUAAGCACCCCGGUAUAUGCACCAGCGUAGACCUGCCUGCGGACCGGAGCCAGCAUUGGUAUCCCCUUUGCCCAGAGCCCAUGGGCAUAGAGAGAUUGCUGGAGCCACGGGGGGGCGGGGGGACUCAAACCUGCGGAGGUGGGUGGAGGGAGGGAAGGGGUGCGCCAAGCCGGGCUGGGCUCUCCCCUCCACGUGGAC
Molecule: long non-coding RNA, 2017 nt
Filed under: Sus scrofa (pig)
Lineage: Eukaryota; Metazoa; Chordata; Mammalia; Artiodactyla; Suidae
Description: lncRNA (ENSSSCG00060004815.1)
Source: RNAcentral